GGUUAGGUUGGGUUAGAGAUGGGGUUAGGUUGGGUUAGAGAUGGGGUUAGGUUGGGUUAGAGAUGGGGUUAGGUUGGGUUAGAGAUGGGGUUAGGUUGGGUUAGAGAUGGGGUUAGGUUGGGUUAAAGAUGGGGUUAGGUUGGGUUAGAGAUGGGGUUAGGUUGGGUUAGAGAUGGGGUUAGGUUGGGUUAAAGAUGGGGUUAGGUUGGGUUAAAGAUGGGGUUAGGUUGGGUUAGAGAUGGGGUUAGGUUGGGUUAGAGAUGGGGUUAGGUUGGGUUAGAGAUGGGGUUAGGUUGGGUUAAAGAUGGGGUUAGGUUUGAGCCAGAUGUGGUUGGAUCUGAGUCUAAGGGAAAUAUUUGAGUCUAAGUGUAACGGUUGUCUUCCUGGGAAGGAGAGGAGGACCAAAAUGCAGCGUGGUUAUUGUUAAGCGUCUUAAAUAAAG
This is a long non-coding RNA of Oncorhynchus keta (chum salmon), 442 nucleotides long. RefSeq lists it as uncharacterized. NCBI's taxonomy places the organism in Eukaryota, Metazoa, Chordata, Actinopteri, Salmoniformes, Salmonidae. The record is from RefSeq and is a predicted model, not a curated record. The transcript has 3 exons.